AACAUGCUUUUUAUAAGACCGCAAAAAUUUUAAUUUUUUGGUCGUAUAUUGCUAUCACGUUGGCGUCGUCGUCCUGCGUCGUCGUCGUCGUCGUCGUCGUCGUCCAAAUACUUUUAGUUUUCGCACUCUAACUUUAGUAAAAGUGAAUAGAAAUCAAUGAAAUUUUAACACAAGGUUUAUGACCACAAAAGGAAGGUUGGGAUUGAUUUUGGGAGUUUUGGUCCCAACAUUUUAGGAAUUGGGGCCAAAAAGGGCCCAAAUAAGCAUUUUCUUGGUUUUCGCACUAUAACUUUAGUUUAAGUGAAUAGAAAUCUAUGAAAUUUUGACACAAGGUUUAUGACCACAAAAGAAAGGUUGGGAUUGAUUUUGGGAGUUUUGGUUCCAACAGUUUAGGAAUUAAAGGGCCAAAAAAGGGCCCAAAUAAGCAUUAUUCUUGGUUUUCGCACAAUAACUUUAGUAUAAGUAAAUAGAAAUCAAUGAAAUUUAAACACAAGGUUUAUGACCAUAAAAGGAAGGUUGGGUUUGAUUUUGGGAGUUUUGGUCCCAACAGUUUAGGAAUAAGGGGCCCAAAGGGUCCAAAAUUGAACUUAGUUUGAUUUUGACAAAAAUUGAAUCCUUGGGGUUCUUUGAUAUGCCGAAUCUAACUAUGUAUGUAGAUUCUUAAUUUUUGGUCCCGUUUUCAAAUUGGUCUACAUUAAGGUCCAAAGGGUCCAAAAUUAAACUUAGUUUGAUUUUGACAAAAAUUGAAUCCUUGGGGUUCUUUGAUAUGCUGAAUUUAAAAAUGUACUUAGAUUUUUAAUUAUUGGCCUAGUUUUCAAGUUGGUCUAAAUGGGGGUCCAAAAUUAAACUUUGUUUGAUUUCAUCAAAAAAUUGAAUAAAUGGGUUCUUUGAUAUGCCAAAUCUAACUGUGUAUGUAGAUUCUUAAUUUUUGGUCCAGUUUUCAAAUUGGUCUACAUUAAGGUCCAAAGGGUCCAAAAUUAAACUAAGUUUGAUUUUAACAAAAAUUAAAUUAUUGGGCUUAUUUGAUAUGCUUUAUCUAAACAUGUACUUUGAUUUUUGAUUAUGGGCCCAGUUUUCAAGUUGGUCCAAAUCAGGAUUCCAUAUUAAGUAUUGUGCAAUAGCAAGAAAUUUUCAAUUGCACAGUAUUGCACAAUAGCAAGAAAUAUCUAAUUGCACAAUAUUGUGCAAUAGCAAUUAAUUUUCAAUUGGAGUUAUCUUUCUUUGUAUAGAAUAGUAGUUGAUAAUAUAUGUUGGAAAUUUGCCAGACAUGACUAUGAUGUCAUUUUCUAUUUUUAUUUGCCAAUAACUUUAUGUAAAUAACUUCAUUGGAAAUUUGCCAAUAUAAAAUGUUGCUGAUGAAGCUUUUUUUCCUUAUCUUAUCUAAAAUGUUUUUAGAUAAUGUAUGUUGGACAUUUGCCAGACAUGACUAUGAUGUCAUUUUCUAUUUUUAUUUGCCAAUAACUUUAUGUAAAUAACUUCAUUGGAAAUUUGCCAAUAUAAAAUGUUGCUGAUGAAGUUUUUUUUAUCUAAAAUAUUUUUAGCUCAAAAGUUGUGUCCAUACUUGUUCUCAUUUCAGAUUUCAUAAAUAAAAAGAAAAUUUCUUCAAACAUUUUUUUGACAGGAUUAAUAUUCAACAGCAUAGCGAAUUGCUCAAAGGCAAAAAAAAUUUUAAGUACAUUAGACCACAUUCAUUCUGUGUCAGAAACCUAUGUUGUGUCAACUAUUUAAUUUUAGAUUUAAAUAAGUUUGAAGAAGAAAUCUUUAAUUGAUUUGUAAAAUCUUGACAUUUGUUUUGUGUAAAAAACCCAUAUAAUGUCAAAAAUUUGAUCACAAUCCAAAUUCAGAGCUGUAUCACGCUUAAAUGUUUUGUCCAUACCUGCCCCAACUGUUCAGGGAUCGACCUCUGCGGUCGUAUAAAGCUGCACCCUGUGGAGCACCUGGUUAUAGUUUUGUCUUGUGUUGUGCUUUAACAUUACUGUCCCAUGUUUGAAAAGGGAGGGGGUUGGUUGCAUGCAAACAUGUUUAACCAUUAGCCACAUUCUGUAUGUGACUGUCUCAUGUCUGGUGCUUGUAAUUUGUUAUUUGCUGCUUUAUAUCAUGUCUGUUUUCUGUUCAUUGCUUUGCAUUUAAUUCAGGCUGUUAGUUUUCUUGUUUGAAUUAUUUUACCUUAUAUGAUGUCAGGGCCCUUUGAUGGCAUGCUAUGCUGUAUGGUUUUUGCUCUCUCUUAAAGGCCAUGCAGUACCCUAAAGUCAUUAAAAGGUCUCUGGUUGAUAGUUGUCUUAUUGGCAAUCUCUGAUGGAUUUCAUUGGGAAUCAUACCACAUCUCUUUAUUUUACAUUUAAAGUCAAGAAUAUAGCCUGCUUUGGCAAUUUAGAUUAGUCUUAAACUUGCCUAUCAUAACAUUAAGUUCAAUGGUUUUCUCUGGGCACUCUGGCUUCCUCCACCAACGAAAACUGGCUGCCUAGAAAUAGCCCAAAGUGGAACUUAAAAGUGGUGUUAAAACAACAACAAUCAAUCAGUCAACCUUAAUUGAUAAGAGUUACAUUUUAAGAAAAUUAUUUUUGUUGAUAAGUGUACAAAUAGUUUAAAUUUCAAGAAAAUAUUACAUAUUUAUAUAUAUGUGAUAAAAACAUUUCAAAUUUAUGUAUUUUAAGUAGAAAUUGUGAGUUCAGAAAUUAUUGCUAUAUUUGAGGAAUGAACAAAAAUUUGAGAUUUAAAUUAUAUGUAAUUUCAGGAAAAUUUGCAUACAGAUUGAUAAUCAAAAAUUCAAGUUCUUAUUUUUGUGAUACUCACACAAUCGCAUUAUUUGCAUUAAAAAAAAAAACUUUAUGAAUUUACAGGAAUUUAAGAUAUGAAUAAAAGUAUAUAUGUUAGGUAAAUGUCAAUAAGAAGCUGUAACCCUACAGGUCAACUAAAGGUCUUCCACUUCAGACCAAUGUCUACACAAUUAGUCAAGCUUUAAAUAACCCUGAUUCCAAAAACAUUGUUAGUUUUAAAUUGAGACUAUAAAUAUCUACCAAAACACCAAACUCCUUAAAGGACAGAUUACAGGAUGAAAAUUUGACGGACCUAAGGUAUUUUUCUAGUCACUUUUAAGCCAUCUACUUUUUUCUUGAUUAUUGGAAUUACAAAAGUUACUCAAAAGGACAUACACAAAAUUACUUUAGAAAAAAAAAAACACUUUUAACUCUGAAAAUAAUGAAAGUAAAAUGGACAAUAAAAACACAGAUACAGGAAAUUUAAGUCAUGUUGACCCAUUGUUGAACUGGUAUGAAGGCCUUUGAAAAGAGAAAUAAAACAUUCAAAAAGGACCAUUAAGUUAUUUUAAAAGUGGCAAAAAUAUUUUUCUAACUAUUAUUUAGUAUUAGAGUGGAAGGUGUCAAAGUUUAUUUGAUCACAGCAUUUAAUAAAAAUGAAUUGUAUAAAAUUUGAAUAAAUCUUAAAUAGAAAUAAUUUGAUAGUGUGAUUUUCAUUAAAGAAUGUGUGAGAAUGUAUUUCCCUAUCAUAGCACAUUUGAUUUAGAUUAUUACAUCAUCACCUGUUAUAAUACAUUAAUGUCUGUUAUCAUACAAUAAUUCAAUAUUGCCUAAAUCUAGUUCUAACAAAAGGCCAAUCUCUUUUAUUUUACCUGACGAUUUUAAUAGAAUGUAUUUACACUUCAGAAGUAUUAAGGAGAUUAGCUUCCAUGUAAAGGUAACCUGUCCAUUUACAGAUUUAUUUACAUUUUUCUAUGUCAUGCUCUUUUAUACUUGUUUAAAUGACCGAGCAAUUAGCAUCAUAAUGAAUGUCUAAUGCCUUACUGUUAUUCAGUGAUAAAAGAAGUGCUGUUGAGAGUCGAAUAUCAGUUAAUGCUUGAGUGAUUCCCCUUUAAUACGUAUAUCAAUACCCGGGAUUUACAGUGAUGACACAAUUCAGGCUGUUGACAUUUGAAAAAAAGUAUUUUUGAUCAUCCACGGAUGCGUAACAGAACAGCCGUUGUAGAUUUCAUUUAAUAGUUCAAUUAUAUAAUAUUUGUAGGAUUACAAAAGCCAAAUUGGAAAUGUACGUUACUGUUAUUGAUUGUAAGUUUUUGUUUUCAAACAUUUGAGAAUUCACAUAUUUUUUCUAACUUUAAAAUACUGCUUCAGUGAUUGUGUUCUUAUUAACUAAUAGAAUAUGCAUUUCUAUUACAGAAAACAUCAGUUAGUGGUAGUUUAUAACUGAUAACAUAAUCAUUAGAUUUGAAUUGAAAUUGUUUGUUUGAAAUUUAUCAUUUUUAAAUCUUUUUUGUCAUUCUAACUGUUGCAGAAUUAUUGGAGAAAAUGCAUUUCAUAUUGAAAACUUUUGUCAAAUUUAAUUCAGUGUAGGAAUCUGUUUCAAAAAUUGAAUUAGAGUUGUAAUUGUGUUACAUGAUCUUUUUAAGUACAUGUAUUUUAUAUCUCAAACCAUUAAUUUUAUAAUUCAUGCAAUUUUGUACUAAAAUGAAAAUCAUGUUUUGGAUUCAAACUUUAGGGUGUUUGAAUGAAGAACGAAUUUCAAAUAUACUCACUUUUUAAUUCUCUAAGCCUUACAAAAAUGUAAUUAAAGAAUUGAUUCAUAUUCAAAAUGAUUUGUAUUGAGCAGGAAUUGAAAAUUUCUCAAUUUAAAUUUUGUGAAAUGUAAAGCCGAAUAUAGGUAAGAUGCUUAGUCUUCAAAUUAGGUUGGUUAAAUUGCUUGUAGCAGGAUUUAUUAAUUUCUCAAUUUUGCAUUGAUCAAAUAUCAGUAACUUUUUGAUUUUUAUUUAAGAAUUGAAUGCUUCUUUUUGUAACUUCAUUGGGGUGUAAUAGCGUUGACCGAAGUACAUUUUGUAUGAAGCGCGUAACGCUUCAUUCUAAAAAUGUGUGCACGGUCAACGCUUUUACAACCCUAUAAAGUUACAAAAAGAAGCAUUCAAUUCUUAUAAUUACAUUUUUUAGCUAGGAUCAUGAAAACACGAAUUUUAUCAAUUUUUGAUUUAAUUCACCUGUGCACUUUAUUGUGGGACCUCGUGUUAACAUGAAUGAUAAGUUUUAUUGAGUAAUGCAAGUGCUUAAGGAAUAACACAUGAUGUGCAGUUUAAGUAACCUGAAUAAUUCAGUUGUUAUAUUCCGCUGAUCUACGAUCUACUGUCUUCCUCGAUAAAGACCGUCAACCUUAAAAUUCACACCGCUUUGCAAUAUGGGAAUUUUUUACUAAGUUGGCAGCUAAAGAAGGAGGAUUUCCGGAUGUUAAUUAAUGUUAAAUGAUGUAAACUGAUGUUAAUUGAUGUUAAUUAAUUAUUAUUGGAUUUGUGUUAAUUGAACACACGUGUUUGGUUUGACAAUUACAAGACAGUUGCGCAGACUCAUUAUCCUGAUCGCUGCCGAUUGGCUCUCUCACAGAGACCAGGCGACGCGGCCAAUGAUUAUAAGGAGUUCAAGCCCUCGUGUGGGAGAAAAUCUGAAACGGAAAGGGCUUGAAUUAUUCGAGUUACAGUUUAAGUCAAUCAGAAUAACGUAUUAUAAUGAAACAUACAUCUAAUGUAAUUAUUUUGAUAAAUUUUAAAAAAAAGGUAGACAUUAAGUAUUUGCAAAGAAACAUGGACUCAAAAUUAUAUAAAGGAAAUGUUAGUUUCAUUAAUGGUAUGGUAUUAAAAUUUUUAAAAAGAUGCAUUUGAGAAAUUUGUAAAUUCAUUGCCAUACAUUUUUUUCCGGCACUCAACUCAAACUCAAUGUUGCUUGAUGCCAAGAGUUUUACGUAAGUUACUGUAAAUGUUAGUGUUGUGGGUUGGACAUAUUUCAGGUGCACAUCAAUAUUGAAUAAGUACACCUGUAUUAUAGUUCAAACAUAUCCAUUGCUUUAAGAUUGAUUAUAAAGAUCAUUGAAGAAAAUCUUAGAAUAAUUAAAGUUUUUUGAAAAAUUACUUCAAACACAUAUAAAGUGAUGAUUUAAGCUGAGAGUCAAUUUGAAACAUCUGUUACCAUUCAAACAACAUAUGAGCAUCUUUUGAUGGUACAGGUGUUUGUUUGUAUUGUAACAGAACUUGUAAUAUCUCUCACAUUUGUUUUGAAAAAAUUACAAAUUAAAUUAUAUUUAUUAUCCUAAAAAGUUACAGUGUUUUUUUUCAAUUACUGAAUCCUUGAACCUUUUCCAGUCAUUUUAAACAGACAGGUUAUGGUAAAUUUUUACUAGAUUAAAAACAGGAUUGUAGCAUCUUUUGUUAAGGGUUUAGGGAAAGGUUUAAGUAAGUUAAAGUCCAUAUAAGUAUAGACAAACUCUGUAUGAUAGACUCGGGUAAACAAAUUUGUACACAAACACAAAAACAAGAAGACUUUUUUGACAUGAAUUUUCAUGUCAACUUGUAAAUUUUAAAUGACUGUAUCAGAAGUAAAACCAAUAAAAAAUAAAAGAACAGUAAACAUUUGAAUGAAUAAAAACUAAAAUUAUAUAACCAUAUAUGUGGACUCAUUAUUAUUCAUUGAAUACCAAUUUUUGUGGAUUUCAUGGUAAAUCAUGAACCAAGAAUUGAAAUCAACCAUGAAAGUAUUAUAUUGAUACUUAUAAUACUUCCAUGAUUCCACGAAGUACAAAUUUUCUUCAGGCAUGUAUGCCGACUUUGGAAAAAGCAUGAAAUCAAAUAUCCACGAACGUAAAAUAUUUUCUCAAUCCACGAAAAUUGAUAUCCAUAAAAAUAAGUGAAUCCGAAGUUAAAACAUAAACUAUUAUAAGAAGGACACUUUUUAAAUAUAGUUUUUAAAUUAUUUGAGGUCAUGCUCGUUAAAUAACUUAAAUUGGACCAUGUUUGCUGAUUAAACAAAUUGCGAUUUAAAUCAGUUAGCUUAAUUUUAUGUAAAGAAGUGGACGAAAUAUGCUUGUAUGUAAAAUAUCAAUAUUUUGUUUGGAUUAUAUUUCAUUGAAAUCUCAUUUUUGAAAAAAGCUUACCCUGCUUUUUUAGGUCAACAGGGUAAUGUCUGAUAUUAGCAUUUAACCUCAUAAGUCUUCUAGGUCUUUUUUAUAGUCCUUAUGCCGAUCAAAAGGUCAAUAAUUUCGUUAGCAGUCCCAAGAUCAAGAAAAAUAAGAAUCUACACAUAUUUCUUUUUAAAAUAUGUUGUACAAUCUGAGUGUCUUUAUAUUAGCUUUCAUUAUUAGUUUUCAAUUGAUUAUUCAAAAUUGACAAAAUCCUAUGCAUUUUUCACAUAAACGAGAAGACCUUUUUCAUGAUGACACAACAGCAUAAGUUUUGAUGUCAUUGAUUAAAAAAAACCGAAUGUUUUUGAAACAAAUAAAUUUUUAAUUUAGAACUAAGAGGAUUUUUAUAGCACAUUGAACUUUCCAAGUAUUUCCCCCAGAACAUAUAACUCAGUCUUAUUGCAGAUAUAAUUACUUGUUUGCUAAAAUAUAGCAAAUGCCCAUUGUUUAUAUUUUAUGGGAUUUGAAAUGUGCAUUGUCUUAAAUGCUCUAAUGAGCAAGAGCACAUUUAAGUUGUUAUCACCUUUUUAAACAAUUUCAUGGAUUUUUUAUGCUGAAAAUACUUCAAAAUUUAUGUUCAUGUGAAAGUGUUGAUUUAUCACAUUUUCAUCUGCAACAAAACCAUGAAACAUCAUCAGAGACCCAUAAUACCAAUGUUAUUGUGUUAUAAAUCUCUGUUUAAUAUAAAAUGUGCUUUAUUUUGCUUUAAUCUGGUGUCUUAUUUAGAAUGGGCAACACAGAAAAUUUUAAAACAUAUUUGAGUUGAAAAAUAUCAAUUGUAAAUUAACUCGUUUUUGUGAAGGUUUUAUUUCCACUUACUUUAAUGAGUAGAAAAAAAAAUGUAUACAGUCUUGAAGACCCAUUGGUGGCGGGCUGUUGUCUGCUCUAUAGUGGGGUUGUUGUCACUUUGACACAUUCCCCAUUUCCAUUCUCAGUUUUAUUAAAUAUAUAAAACUUAGAUCUCGCCUUAUAUCGCUCUAUUAUUUAAAGAAAGUUAGAACAUUAGGAAAAUAAAUUUGUGCAAGGUGACAUAUGAAGAGUAUCUCUUCCUAUUUAGAGGCACUCAUAGACUUGCUGCUGGUAUGGGUCACUCUUUUUAGAUGUUAUAAUAUAUAUUAGUGGGAUGGGAUUUCACUAAGGUAAUAUAACAAUGGGUUGAAAUUUAUAUGUCAAUGAAUCAUUGUGUUCAUCUUCUGUUAAGAAACCUGUAAAACUGUGUCCUGACCUUUUUUGUCCAAUAAUAUGAGUUAUACUGUAUGUGGUUCACAUCUAAAUAAGAUGUCAUGAUAACUGGCAAAUAUAUAAAGGGGUUAUUUUAAAUUUCCUAUGAAAUAUAUGAAUGGGAGUGUUUUGAUAUCUCCAGCUGGACAUCUGUACUCACAUUUGGCUGUUGAGACACCCAGUGGCAGUGGAAAUAUAUCAAUCAUGUUUGUAAAAGUUUUUCUUUACUUUUGAAGGGCUAUUGCAUAUUUAUGCUGUAGAAUAUUCAUUGGUAAUCAGAAGCAUUAAAAAGUAUGCAGUAGGAUUUUGUUCUUUCAUAGAUUUUCAAAACAAGUAUUUCAACAUUUUUUCUCUUCAUCUUUUGGAAUAAAUAACUCAAAUAUCUUUCAGUUAUUAUAAUUUUCCUCAAAACCUCUAACUCCAAUAUAUCCUAUGAUAGUAUGGUUAAGCAAAAUAAGGGUAAUGAUAUAUAAUUCAAUUGUUAGAAAAGUUAUGUUUUACCAAGUUCUGUAGGUCUAAGAAAGUCAUAAAACACUAUGUCCAUUAGCGGAUCCAGGGGGGCCCUGAGGGAUCCGGGCCCCCCUUUCAUGGGAAAAAUUUGGUUGAUUAUAUAGGGAUUCAAUGAAACAUGACUGGAGCGGGCCCCCCCUUAGGUCAGUCAGCAGGCCCCCCCUUAGGAAAAGUUCUGGAUCCGCCACUGAUGUCUACAAGAAUUAAGAUGACAAAUACAAACAAUAGCCCCAAAAAAAUAACAGAGUGACAAACACUUUGAUUGAACAACAUUUGUAUAACCUCACAAAAAACCCAGUUACAAACCUUUUGUUAGCCGAUAGGGUCGACAGGGUGGUUUAUGGGGCUUCAAUGACUUUCUCUUUUCUAGAAAAAAAACCCAAAAAGUACUAUUGAAAAUCAUUAAAGUGGAGACUGAGAUUGAAGUGUGACUAUCAAAGUACUAAAUUACCCUCACCCAUUGGCGGAUCUAGGAGGAGGGUUCCGGGUGUUGGAACACCCCGUUUUUUUGGACGAUCAAUGCAUUUGAAUGGGGACAUAUAGUUGGAACGCCCCCUUUGUCCUGGGUUGGGAACCCCCCCCCCCCCCCCCCCUUUUUAAAAUGGCUGGAUCCGCCCCUGCUCACCAGCCAACCUUUGCAUUCAAGCUACAGGUUCUGAUUGCGACAUGGAGAAUCUAUCGUAGUGAAUAUUUAGGUUAGACCAUAAGAAUUUAAUUGUUGGUCAAAUGUGAAAUUUUUUUUUUUUUUAUAAAAUAAAUGUUUUAUGAAGAAUUGUAUUGAUAAUGCAUUUGCACUAUAAAACUUGGUAUAGAUACUGUUACUUUGGUGAUUUUUUGUUGCCCUUUUGUCAGUUAUCAAUCAACUCUGUUAUACAAAUAGCAUUAUAUAAGUUGAUAGUGUUAUGAUAAGAUAUACAGUAAUAGAACCCAAAAUUUUCUCUUCUUAUUACAUAUUGAAUAUUCCAAUCUUUUUCCCAGUUGGAGAAUAUACAGCAUUAUAAUCAAAUAUUGACUUGGAUUUGAUUACAUGAUAAGGUAUAGAAUUCCAGUAAUAUGGCUAAUUUUCUCUAUUGAGCUAUGUUGUAACAGUUUAAUUUGUAGUUGAAAUUUCUAUAUUGACAAAGUCAAUAUUCUUUGAAGAGCAAGACAAAGUUAUUUUUAAAAUAAAAUGAACCCGCCUCCUACUUCUAAUGACAAAGAUACCUUGGAAAAAGUAAAGACACGCGAUUAAUCCUGAGAAAGUAACAAUUAUAGCUGGUAAACAUUGCCUUUUGAAACUUGUUAUAUCUAAAUUUACUGAUUUUCUAGUCCAAUAUUUACACACAAGAUAUAGUAAACAAUCCGUGCUAAUGACAGUAGUAGAAGUAGACCGCCAGUAUAAUGAUGUAAAUUAAACUAAUUAUCUGUCCUUUGAUUGACCUUGUAUGCAAAUAAUUCUGUCACCCCAUGGACAAACACAGAUGUGACCAUGGAAUACUUUUAUUUAUGAUAGAAGCUGAGAUAGAAGUAAAAAGAAAUGAGCAAUUAUUUACCAAGAUUGUUGUUAAAACGUCAGUUAUUGAAUUGGUUUGUGUUUUACAGAGUCAUUUAUAGUCAAUAUUGAGCUUGUUCAUAUGGAUUGCUAAACUUCAUGCCAUUUUUUCAAGUUUCAAUUUGAAUUGAACUCACACUGUGUCUGUACCAAGUCAGACUCUCUCUUUGAAUAUUUUUACAUUUGUCAUUUCAGGGCAUUUUAUAGAUAAAUAUGUGGUAUGGGCUUUGCCCAUUGUUAAAGCUGUAGUGUGACCUAUAGAUGUUGAUUUUUGUGUCAUUUAGUCUCUUGUCAAGAGUUGUCUCAUUGGCAAUCAUACCACAUCUUAUAUAUCUACAUCAUUUAUUGGAAGCUGUCAAUUUUGCUUGUAUACAUUUAUUUGAUUUAUAACGGACAGGUUUUUGGAGGAGUUGGUGGGGUCUGUUGAACUCCCAAACCUACAAUCUUUGUGUAUGUAUUUUUAGAUAUGUCAGAUUUUUGAAUUAUAAGUAAGAGAUCUUGCCUACUGUUGAUUUAUUAUUUUUUGAGUGGUACAACAUACCUUUUUUUAGCUCACCUGGCCCGAAGGGCCAAGUGAGCUUUUCCCAUCACUUUGCGUCCGGCGUCCGGCGUCCGGCGUCCGGCGUCGUCCGUCGUCGUCCGUCGUCCGUCGUCGUUGUUAACUUUUACAAAAAUCUUAUCCUCUGAAACUGCUGGGCCAAAUUAAACCAAACUUGUCCACAAUAAUCAUUGGGGUAUCUAGUUUAAAAAAUAUGUCCGGUGACCCGGCCAACCAACCAAGAUGGCCGCCAUGGCUAAAAAUAGAACAUAGGGGUAAAAUGCAGUUUUUGGCUUAUAACUCAAAAACCAAACCAUUUAGAGCAAAUCUGACAGGGGUAAAAUUGUUUAUCAGGUCAAGAUCUAUCUGCCCUGCAAUUUUCAGAUGAAUCGGACAACCCGUUGUUGGGUUGCUGCCCCUGAAUUGGUAAUUUUAAGGAAAUUUUGCUAUUUUUGGUUAUUAUUUUGAAUAUUAUAGAUAGAGAUAAACUGUAAACAGCAAUAAUGUUCAGCAAAGUAAGAUUUACAAAUAAGUCAACAUGACCGAAAUGGUCAGUUGACCCCUUUAGGAGUUAUUGCCCUUUAUAGUCAAUUUUUAACCAUUUUUCGUAAAUCUUAGUAAUCUUUUACAAAAAUCUUCUCCUCUGAAACUACUGGGCCAAAUUAAAGCAAACUUGGCCACAAUCACAAUUGGGGUAUCUUGUUUAAAAAAUGUGUGGCGUGAUCCGGCCAACCAACCAAGAUGGCCGCCACAGCUAAAAAUAGAACAUAGGGGUAAAAUUCAGUUUUUGGCUUAUAACUCAAAAACCAAAGCAUUUAGAGCAAAUCUGACAGGAAGUAAAAUUGAUUAUCAGGUCAAGAUCUAUCUGCCUUUAAAUUUUCAGAUGAAUAGGACAACCUGUUGUUGGGUUGCUGCCCCUGAAUUGGUAAUUUUAAGGAAAUUUUGCUGUUUUUGGUUAUUAUCUUGAAUAUUAUUAUAGAUAGAUUUACUGUAAACAGCAAUAAUGUUCAGCAAAGUAAGAUUUACAAAUAAGUCAACAUUACUGAAAUGGUCAGUUGACCCCUUUAGGAGUUAUUGCUCUUUAUAGUCAAUUUUGAACCAUUUUUCGUAAAUCUUAGUUAUCUUUUACAAAAAUCUUCUCCUCUGAAACUACUGGGCCAAGUUCAUUAUAAAUAGAGAUAAUUGUAAGCAGCAAGAAUGUUCAGUAAAGUAAUAUUUACAAACAUAUCACCAUCACCAAAACACAAUUUUGUCAUGAAUCCAUCUGCAUCCUUUGUUUAAUAUUCACAUAGACCAAGGUGAGCGACACAGGCUCUUUAGAGCCUCUAGUUUUGUAUUGCAUGUGUAAAAGGAACCUGGAAUUCUAAUUUCAAUGAAGAAUAAUUGUUUAUAGCCUAGGUUUGAAUACAAACUUUUGCAAAACCGCAAAAUCAUAUAUUUUGUAUGUAUCUUAAUGUAUGUUUGAGUGGUUGAGACAAAAGUGGAAAGCGCCAUACAUGUUUGCAAACACAAAUGCAUAUACCAAAUUGGCCAUGACAGAAUUUAGAAAACUACAAUACUAUUCCAUGUAACUAAUUGUCAAAAGAAAUAUAAUUGUAUUGGUAGCCUAGUUAUUUUAUAAUUUGAUAAUUAUUUUGUGUUUGAUACUAAAUGUGAUCUUAAGUGAUCCUGUGAAUGCAAGCUAAUACAUAAUUAAGCUGAUGAAGUUUGUAUCAAAAAAAUAAAAUGUCUUCAUUCUUUAAUUAUCAGAAUGUUUAUUAAGAUCUUAAGAUAUAGAAUUACAAAAAGCAUUAAAAAAAGACAUUUUUCACACCAACAAGACCAAGACUUGUGAUAGUUGUUCAGUUGUAUGAAUGACAUUGUCUACAUUUCAUUGACGCCAAUUGUCAUGAAAAAUGUGAUGUUGGUGCAUUGUAAUUGACGUCAUUGUCUUGUAUAUUUUUAGUAUCACAUCCUGUCUAUGAUCUUAAAAAUCAUUAGGCAGCAGGAUCAAAAGGAAAAUGUACAAAUUGCUAAUAAUUUAGGUUAACGAAUGCUUAGGAUUAUUGGAAUUAGCUAUUCAUUCACAGAUUUUAACAUUCAGUGAACAUAUAAAAUAGGUUUUAAUUAAUCCUGAUUAUAUGCACUUUUAUAGACAUCUUACUACAAAAGUUGAGGGAAGUCAACUUUUCCAUUUAUGGCAAAAUUAUUUGCUUAUUUAUGACUUUAUCAUGUUUGAAGAAAGUUAAAUUAAGUCCAUUUUAUAUUCUCAGCUUCCAGAAAAGUUUCUGGUUAAACCUUUGACUCAGGAGAAAAUGUAGUUCAUAUAAAUUAUUGAUUUUAACAGAUGAAGUGUGUAAAAAAACAAUAAAUUCUUCAGAAAUUACAUUUAGACUCCAUCUCUCAAAUGAAGGUGCAUAUCAACCUUUUAAUUCUACUGAAACUUAAUGGAAUUUAAUUGAAUUUAACAUCCUUGACAUCAGUUAAAGCAUGUUUAUUUCAGAAUGUGUUUAUUUAUGGGUGAAUUUCAUCACACUUUCUAACGUUUGUAAAUAUCUGUAGGGUAGAUAGUUUGGGUUAGUAACAUCAUAAGAGGUAUGUAACCCCACCGUAUGACAAUGUAAGGAAGAGUUCAAUAUUUAGGUUUCAUUUAAAAGAUAAUUUUGUGUGAAUCACUUAAAUUUGAUAUACAAUAUGCGAAUAUAAAUUCAAUUUGUUUUUAAAUCAUUUUAUUGUAUAAAGUUUCUAAUAACAUAAAAUGAAAUAACUACAUUACCUUAAAGGCACCCAGUAUAAUACAAUUAUAUUUGUGUUUAUAGGAAAGAUAUAAAAUAGAUUUUCUAAAAUGAUCAUAACUUUUAUCUAGUAUUCAUUAUAUUAUUGGUAUGCUGAUGCCCAUAUUUUAAAUAUUGUUUAAAUUACGACCAUUCUCAGUUUUGUAUCACGAUUUUCAUCAAAUGUAUAUAUAAAAAUAAGGAGAUGUGGUAUAAUUGCCAAUGAAAUAACUAUUCACUAAAGUUUAAUGAAGACGAUGCAAGCAAUUAUAGGCAACUAUACAGCCUUCAACAUUGAGAAAUACCCAUACCUUGUGGUCAGCUAUUAAAGGCCACUGCAUCAAUAAUAUGAAACAAUUCAAUUGAGAAAACUAGAGGAUAUCUUUUUUUGUGAGGAAAAAUUUAGUUGAUUAUAUAUAGGGAAUCACUGAGGCAUGGCUCCCCUUAGGUCAGUCAGCGCCCAAGCAUUUUUACAAGCAACCACCAUUUUAGGACAUGAACAUGUAUCUUGAAAUAUUGAAUCUACAAUCAUGUAUGUAAUUUUUCUAUCAUUCAUCAAGUCUAAAAAAGUCAAAAUCAACAUUUUAUAAUUCCCAUUCUUAGCCUGCAGUCUGUAAUUAAUUUCAGAAAUAUUAAUUCCCAUAGUUUUGUUGCUGCUAGUAAUUUUGUAGUCUGAACAUUUGUUAUCUAUAUUAAAAAAUUCAUCUGGGUACUGAAAAACUGUAAUCAGAGAUUUUUAUAAUUGUUUUUAUUUUAAAGAUAAACCAACAUUUAAUUAUAUUGAUGAAAUAUUAUACUUUCUUUUACAAUUGACAUGUUUUAUUAUUGUUAAGGGAAAACACAUCUCUAUAGUAAAAUAAAUCUUUAAAAGUACAUUUGACCCAGCUAACAAAAGUACAAAUGUUCUAUAAAUGGAACAAAGUUUCUGAAAUCUUGCACACUGAAAUGUACAUCUUCUGAUAAAAAUAGAAACACUAUGGUGUCAUAAGCAUGUGCAAAGCAUGUUAAUAUCACUAUGUGAAAAGCAUGUUAAUGUCACUAUGUGAAAAGCAUGUCCAAUGAUGAUGUUGAUGUCACUGAAUUGUCCAUCCAAUGAAUUUUCUUCUUUUGUUUUGAUUGACAGGUGCCAUAGGAUAACCAGACUGAAAUAAAGCAGAUUGAAGUUAACAUUUCAGAACACCAGAAUACAGCCAAGGAACCAUCAACAAAUAGAAGAUUUGUAAGUAAAACUGUUUUGAUAUUGAAAGUUUUUUGUACAGGAAAUUCAUGAGGUAUAAAAUGAAAGAAAUAUACAAUAUUAGGUCAAUGUCAGAAAAAUAUAAACUUUUUUGAAUGAGUCUGAGAAACUUGGAAAGGGCUAGGUUUUACCAAUUAAGCCCUUCUCCAGUAAUGUGUGCCGAAUACAAAAAAGUUAAUAUUUUUAUGACAUUGACCCAAUACUGUUUUUAUGCUGCAACUGAAAUUAAGACAUUGAUAGCUAUUUUUAAAAAUUAUAAUGCAUUGUACAAAUUUCAAACUUAUUUUCAUCCCUUCAAUACUGAACACCUGAUUGUGGAAAAAGUUUUCCAUGACGAAAUUGACAUUGCACAAAAUAUAGCUGUGUUUCUAUUUUUAGGAAAUAACUAGUUGCAGUAUGAAAAUAUUAGAUUAAUUUUCUCUUGAAUUGAAAACUUGGUAAACUGUGCAAACUUUAGUGUUAGAUACAUGUUUUGGCCACUCUUUCUGCUGUGAAACCAUUGUAGAAUUGUCUUUUGGUUAUCAUAACACAAUAGCUUUGGAAUAUGAUACAGUAGCAACCGCAUACAGCCUCCCUACAAUAGGCAGUGGCUGUCAUGUUUGGGCUCUAAUCAGUGGCGGACGCAGAAAUUUUCAUAAGUGGGGGACCAUUGACUGCUGCUCCCAUCACACUUCAGUGAUUCCAACCAACCAAAAUUUUACCACAAAAGGGGGCCCAAGCCUAAAUAUGCCUCUGCUAAAUUAUCACUUCAAAAGUUUCAAAUACACAUUACAGAGACCUUAAUGAAAGAUUUGAUAUAAACACCCUAGAUCUCCAAAUAUAAAAAAAAGAACAUGUAAGAUAUGAACUGAGAAGUUGGGACAAGCCCAUGCACAUGUGGCAGAUCCAAAUAUUAAAAGCUUUAAUUUUAAAAACUCCUCUAAUGUCAUGUAUUGAAUAUGAUAUGAUAUUUUCAUACAUACUUUCCAAAUACUUCUUGUGAAUUUCAUAGACAGUCAAAAAGUGUUAAAGUUCUUGAACUUUAUAAAUUGAAAAGGAGAUUAGUAAUUAAUUAGUGUGCCAAAAAGGCUCAAUAUAAUUGCAUGCUUGACUGGAUGUUCAAAGUCUUUGCACUGCAUUGUAUUUAUUUUCACAUGUUUCAUGUGUGUAUUUUUUAUAUGUAAAGAUCAAUUUUAUAUGGUUAAAAUUAUUGCAGUAUUCAGCAAUAAUGUUAAAACAGAAAAUUUUGAAGAAAGCAUUAUUUAAUACAGUGGUGUUCAAUUGUUUGCUGUAUAUCAUAUCUGUUUUUCAUUUAUGGUUUGUACAUAAAUUAGGUUGUUAGUUUUCUGUUUUGAAUUGUUUUUGCUUAUUGUUGAAGGCAGUUCAAUGACGUAUAAUUGCAUCCUCUACAUCUUUUGGUCUCUGUUGUAAAGUUGUCUCAAUUGCAGUCAUAGUACAUUUUCUUGAUUUUAUAUGGUUGUGACAUUACCAUAACUGAUUUUUGGCAAUAUUGCUUAUGUAUUUGCAUAUGUAUAAUGAUGAUAUCAUUGGAAUGUUGGGGUUAUAUUACAUCAAUAAAGACACAAGAUGUAAAAAGAAAGCUGAGUUCUGAGUUUUCCAAAUGACAAUAACCAUCAUACAACACAUGUGAACAUAUAUCUUUAGAUAAUGUAGUUUCACAUAUACCAGAGUAUAACUGACAAUAUUAUUUAAUGUAGAUAUAUUUUUUUCAUUCCAUUUAAUAUUCUGCAAAAUAUGUUACAAAGGACCAAAUUCCUGGUUUUAAUGAUGAUUCAAUGUCAUUUUAUUACUUUGGUCACAUUAGAAUUCUAACAUUAAAUGUCAAUGACAAUGCUUAUGUCAAGAAAUAUGUUUUAUAAAAUAGAUAUUAAAUAUUUAUAUAACUUACAAAGAACAGUUGUGAUGGGAUUCAGAUACAAAAUGUGAUCCUCCCACAUUAUGUCUUUCUUUUUGAAGUAUUGAUAGAUUUACAGAUGUUGUAAUCCAUCUUCUAUUUACAUAAACAAUAUACUUCUGAUCUGUUUUACCUGUGAUUGAAAUUUAAUUGCAGAAAUGUAAAUGAAACCUAACAUAAAAAAAAUGUAAAGAAACAGAUAUGUUGUAUAGAUAAAUACAAAAAGGACUUGAUAGUUGUUUAAUUGGGCAUAUAGGGAGCCCUAUUAAAGAUUCAGUUUCAUUUGAAAUCACUAAACUGUUGAUAUCAGUAAAGGGAGAAAUAUAUAGUAAUUGUUACCUACAUAAAUAAUUUUAGCUUCAAGCUGUAAAGUGAAGGGGAUUGAAUAUGAUGACCAUGUUAUGCCCCUGUCUGUCUUGGUGUAUCAUUCGAAUUGUAAGCGGUUUUGUUGAUAUUUUUUUAAACAUGCAGAGAAUAUUUUGUUCAUAAUAGGAUGGUGCACAUUUAUAUUUGAUUAAUUAUAAAAAUUAAGAAAGUUGCCUCAACAUCCUUUUUCACUGGACUAGUCCACAUUUUUAUUUAGUGGUCAGCUGAAGCCCACCGCAGGAUGAGAGAUUUUGUUGCUGAAUUGAAGACCCCUUGGUGGCCUUUAGCUGUUAUCUGCUCUUUUGUCAGGUUGUUGUCUCUUUGACAUAUUCCUAAUUUCCAUUCUCAAUUUUAUCCUUAUAGCAUUUGUUAGUUCUAUACAGAAGGACAAGACUUCUAUAUAAAUAGAAGGUAUCCUAGCAAUGAGGAAAAUUUUCAGAGAAUUCAAAUAAUAGCAAACUAAACAGAAUGUAUAAUUUAAUGUUGCGUUUUAGAAGAUAGAAAUUUAUAGACAGAAACGUUAUUUAUGGUUACUUGAAAAAAACAUGUUUAAAAACAACAUGCUAUAUUGACCACUGUACCUUUUUUGAACAGAAUAUACUUUAAAAAGCAAAUGUUUAUUAGUUUUAUAAACUUAAGCUUCAUAUUCCAUUUUUAUAUUAAAUUUUACAAUGAAAUUAAGUCUCUUUCACUUAAAUCAUUAAAAUAUCUAUUGGUGUAAACUAUAUGUCAGUACUUUCAAUUAUGAGAUAUUAUUUUCAUCACUUGCAUGAAAUAAACCCACUCAGAAGUUAUAUGGGUCUAUUAUUAUUGUCAGAUUUCUAUUAACCAUAUGUGAGAAUUUAUUAGUUUUUAUUUGCUUUCUCUCAAACAUAAAGUGAUUUGGGAUAUUGUCAAAUUAUAAUGGAUUAAGAAAUUUGAACUUAAAGGAAUGCUUUGUUGAAUAGGAUUUAAAUAUAUUUUAUAUUUAUUUUAUAGAUGUUUUUAAAAGCCAUGUUUUAUAAGAGUGUAUGUUAAUUGUUUUAAACAUACAAGGUCUGAAAUAUUAAUAUCAUACAGUGCUACACUUUUAGUGCAGUUUUACAAAUCGACAUUGAAUAAAAAACAAAUUGGUUUCAAAACUGGACUUGGGCUCCAUGAUCAGCUUGUUCAAUCUUUUUGGGUAAAUUUACAUACCUUUACCAUAUAAAAGAUUCAUACUGACCAUCAAAAGGAAGCAACAAAUGUUUUUGUGAGUUUGUUUUGUACAAUUAAUUGAAGAAUACAGCAUUGGUUUAUAUAUAUGCAGUUGACAGGUGCAUUAACCCAUGCCAUAGGUCAUAUCUGUGUGCAUGCAUUAGGAAUGGACCAUGGAAUGGUUGCUUUGCAUGAAAUCCAACUUGUGACAAUCUCUGGUGGAUAUUUCCUCUCGAUAAUUCAUGAUGCAUAUCAACUGGAGUUGUUGCACAGAAAAAAAUAUUGUAAACAUAUUGCUCAGACUUGACGUGCUGUUGCUACUCACUAGGUGGUCUUGCAGCCCUUUCUCUUAUGAUGAUAAAAAUAUCAAGUGUAGAUUACUUCAGUAAAUUUUUUAUAUGAUACAAAGAAAAAUUUCUUAGAAAGAGUUUCUAUCCUCAAUAAUUAUAGAUCCACCAAUGUUUUAUGAAUGAAUUUAAUUGGGUAUACACUAUUUCUACAAGGUUUUCAUCUUCCUCUGUUACCUGGUGAUGAUAUGAUAAUAUAUGAAUAUAACUUGCCAUGUAAAACUGCAGAUGUUUAUUGGCAACCAGUAUAAUAGUGCCAGUAGUGGAAAUUGAGACAUCUUUUUUGUUGUUUACAGAUUUUUAGAACUAAUUUGUUAUCAACAGCUUUUUAGAGAUGCCUAGAAAGAGCAAUAUUCAUUAUUGAAAUUUAUAUCUAGUAGUACUUUAUUUGUUGAACUUCAAUCACACAUCUUUAAACACAUGUUUUAGUCUUUGUAAUGUUGACUCUAUACUGUGGUAUUCCUCCAUUAGAAAAUCCCCCAUUAAAUCCUUUUUCAUCCUAACUACUUGGGUGAUCUCACAUUAGUAUGCAUGUAAAAUUUUGGGGUUAUGCGUAUGAUCCUGAUACAGAUCAUUUCAAAGACUUCAAAAUUGGUAAUUUACUAGAAGUCAGGCAGUGUUUGUCCAGAUAGAAUGACAUGUUUUCCUGCCAACUGCUACCUUGUAAACUGUUAAAAGCAAUUUUGUUACCAUUAGCGUAACUUGUCAGUUUACUACAAAGCAGGGUCAUCUUCAUAUCACAUUAACAUGUUCUGAUACUUAUAUGUUUGUAAUAUUUGCUACAAGACUUAAAAUACCAAUCCAUCAAUCCCUCCAUACCUCUUUAUCACACAAUGAGUACCCUAUGUUCAUAUAGUAUCCAAAAUUACACCUAUAAUUUAGUAUAUCCUUGUGUAUCCACUUUUAAGGGACACAUAAAACAUUAAAUGUAUUGUUUACAUCACAGUGCAUAGUCCUUUUCAUGGGUUAAAGCAAUGAAAGUCAAUAGGAACAAGGACUUUGAAUAGGUCCAAAAUGCCAGUAUAAAAUUUACAAUCUUUUUUUCAUUAAAUGGACUUGUUCAGAAAGAUGUUGAAAUAUGGGAACAUUUUUAUUUGGUCUCAUAUAGAUAGGUCAUGGAAUCAUUUCUGAGAAAGCUGAGACUUAGUUCAAGAAGACAGAAAUUUGUAUAUAUCUGAAUUCUUAAGAUUCUUAUGUCUGAUUCAAUGGAACUUUUGUUAUUUAUGACAAAAAUUGUGUAAAAAUGGGUCUAACUGAAUUUUCUUUCAUGUCAACUUGAAGUUUAUCAUGUUACCAAGCAACAUGCUAACUUAUCAGUCAGACAAUUAAAAAUCUGGUCUUUUUUUUAGAGAAAGUUAUAUUAUUACCACACGGAACCAACUCAUAAGUAUGUACAAAUAUCACACACAAAGCCAAAGCAAUGCUAUACAAACAUCUAAAGUUAGUAAAUGGAUGGUAUUCUAUUUACUUUACAUGUGUGCUUUUAAGAAAAUGAUUUUCUGUCAAUAAUUAGCAUAUUCAACCCUUACAAAAGGAACUAUUGUAGAGAACUUUAAUUCCAAUUAGAAAAACAAAUACAGAAGGUUUAUGUGGAAAUUUAAAUGGAUUUUUAUUGUAUUCAGACUUUGAAAAAGAUUGAGUAUUUUUGAAAUUAUCUGAAGUAUUAUAAUUAAUUAUAGAUGUCUGGAUUAAUCUAAGUGGUUAUUUUUUUAUUCGGAUUUAUAUUAUACAUCCAACAGCUGUAAGUUAAAACAAAGUUUUUUAAAAUUUUUUUCCUCUUUCAACAAAUUGUCUCUGUAAAAAAAAUGAAGAGUUUUCUUACAACAAAUAAAACAAAGCUUUUCAGACAAGAAAAUCAUUUAUUGAUGAUCCCAAAAUCCUGGGGUUAAAAACACAAAAUCCCAAAAUCCCGAGCUUAAAAACACAAAAUCCCGAAAUCCCUGGCUUAAAAACACAAAAUUCCGAAAAUCCCGGGCUUAGAAAUAAGAAAUCCUGAGGUCACUAAAUUCAAAGAAAAGAAAUCUGAAAUCCCAAAAGGAUCAAUCCCGAAGUCCCAAGCUUAAAAACACCCCAUCCCGGAGUCCUGAUAAAGGUCCUAUCCCCCUCAUUGAUGACUAGGACAAUGCUACCUGCAUAUUUCAUUUUUUGUGAGGGCAACAUCAAUGUACGAUUGAUAUGGGAAUAUUAUUGAAUGUCACAUGUUUUAAAUUUUUGUUUAUUUUCAAAACUUGUUUUUUGAGAGAUAUUUUCUGAAUGUAUGUCACUUUGGUUUUAGAUUAUAAUACAAAGCACCAAAGUUGAAGAAAAAAGCAAAAAUCUAUUUCUAUAAUUUAACAUACUUUUUCUUGACCUCUGGGAAACUAUUAACCUGAUAACAAAGAAAUAAGGAGAUGCGGUAUGAUUACCAAUGAGACAACUAUCCACCAGAGACAGCAUCAAACAGGCCUAAACAACAAGCAAAAUCCUAACCAUAUAGAAAUCUAUAACAGGCUCUACCCAGCAUGACAAGAUGUAAAACUAAAGAAAAAACCAACUGUUUGAUUUAUUCUAAAACAAUAAUGAAAAAAAACCAACAAAUAAUGACAGACGGCACACUGAAUACCAGGUUCCUGACUUGUGACAACCACAUAAAGAACCAGUAGUGUUAACAGACUACUAAGACUGUUAAGAUAGAUCGGCCUACACUAUAACCACAAGGACUUAUCUGUUUGACAUUAGGGGUUAGAAUUAUUUGAAUUUGUGUUGUCAUAAAUAUAUAUCAAAAAUGUGUUCUCUUUAUUCCUUUUAAAACACCUAACUUUGUUAUGCAUUAACUAAAGAUCUGUGUUAACUUUACAACAAAAUCUAGCUGAGAUGAUAAAUAGUUAAUGUCUAAUUAUAGAUACAUGAGAUAUAUGAGUGAUUUUUCUAGCUGUGCUCAGAAUUGGUCUAUUAAAAAAAAAAUUAAACUUAAUAGGCCUUAUAUAUUACAAUAUUCAUAUGAUAAGGUAGUUAUUUAUAGACAAUAUAAUGAAUUAUUCAUCUUUUUUCCCCUGUAGAGUUGUUUUAUACUGAACCUUUUUUUGUUAAAAAAAUGAAUACAUGAUGUAGCGGAGUUGUCAUACAUAGGAUUUAUAUUCUUUAUUGCUCUUACAUAGUGAUAUAAAACAAAGUGAGAAUGGAAAGAUCUAGUUACACAGCCUUAACUCUCUCAAUCAGUAAUUAAGUAGCCAUGUUCCUUUUAAAAUGGCAGUUCCAGAGUCAUUAUGUAAUCAAAAGCACAUUAAACAUUUAUACUGUGGAAAGCUUGGUGUUAGUUGUUUAUUGAAGGCAAUUCAACUCACUAAUUUGAAAAGUGAUCUCAGUUAUGACAUUUACAUUUGUGUGGUACGUUUAAUUUUCAAAAAUGACAAAAGCAUUGUGGAAAUUAGAGAUUUUGAAACCCCUGUGUAGUCUCUUUAAUAUUCGUGUUGGUUUCGAUUUAAGCUGUAAAUCCUCUUAGAUGUCUCAUUAGAUUUUUUUUACCAAUUGCCACCACAGAUAGGAUCAGAUUGUACAUAAUUAUACAAUAAUUCCUAAUUUUAUAUGGUGUAGGUCUAUUUCAUAUAUCGAUCAACUAGAACUUUGAUGUAAAAAAAAACAUAUUAAAGGAAUAAAUUUAAAGAAGGGUUACAAAUUGUUUUUUUUUUAUAAUUGCUAAAAAAAUCUUAAUAAAAGAUAUUAUAGCUAUCUGAUGUAAUGGUUGCUUUUGUAACUCUGAAAUCUUGUCAUUCCUGCAUGAAUUAUAAAAGAAUGGAUUUGGAUAAAGGUUAGCCAUAUUGAAUGAACAUUUCACUUACCAUAUUUUAUUAUUGGUUAUUUAAGAAGUACUAUUAAGCAUGCACUGUUUAAAGCGUCUUCAACUUGAAUUUUAUUGAAGGCAAACAAGAAAUGUACACGCAUAAAAAAAUACCAUACAUCAUUGAAAGUACAGUAAGGUUGAAAUUUAACUUCCGGAUAAUUGAACCUUAAACAUGACUGCAUUUUCCAUUUGAGAGGAGUUUGAAAUGUAAAAUAUUGUCAAUUUAAAUUCUCCUAAUUUACAUCUUUCUAUCAAAUGGAAACGUUUUCACUAACAGGAAGAAAAAUCUUUGAUCCCUUUGAACAAUUUCAUUAGACUAAAGAGAAAAAUUUCUUGCAUGGAAAAGCUCUUGAAACAAAUUGCAGAAUAUCUAAAAAGCAAAAAUAACAUCAAAUGGUAGAGGGGUAAUCCAUUUCCCCAAACUCUUCAUUAACAUCAUUAUAGAAAAUUAAAAUACUUCACAAUGCUGUUUGAACAAAGUAGCUUUGGUGAACAGGAAAAUGCCUCUAAGUGGAAGACAAGGAAUUCAUCAUACAUCUGAAAAGUUGACAAGAUUUAAACAAAGGAGGAGCUUUGUGUGUAAUAAUCUGUGUCUUAGAUGUUUACUGCUGCAAUGAGGUGUAGUAAUUAUAUCUCAGCUUUUUUAUAUGUUUUUUAUGGAAUUAGCGAUCAUGACAAGAUGAAGGCAUGGGCUCAGUUUUCCAUAAAAUUUUGAAAAAAUAGUUGAAAUUGAACCCAUCACACGUAAAUAUGCAUGGCAGAUUUUUGGUUGUCUAUAGGUGGAUCCAGGGGGUGGGAAAAAAUUUGUUGAUUAGAUAGGAAAUCACUGAAGUGUGACUGGAGUGGGUCCCCUCUUAAUGCAGUCAGUGCCCCCCUGCCCUCCCCUCCCCCUUUAUGAAAAAUUUCUGGAUCAACCGCUAUUGUCAUUUAAUGAGUCACAUAACUUGACUCAAUUAAGAGAUUAUACUAUAUGCCACAAACAUUCAUCUGUUGUUAAAGAUGUUUUUCACUCAUUGACACCUACCUACCCUUGUAUUCAUAUUAUUUGAAGGUUAAUCUUUACCACAGAAAAAAAAUAUGUGUUUAUAAACAAAGAUUGUCUGUUCAACAUUAGUUUAUGAUAUACACCAGAUUGGUAGUUAACAGGUUGUAUGUAAAUUUUCUUUUAUGAAAAUAAGAUUAAAAUUUUCAGUGUGGCAUCUGUAGCAUCUUGCUGAGUAUGAAAGUCACAUUUAAAAAAAAGUUUUCUGUAUUUGAUUGAAUCGGGAUUCAUAAUACCUGUAACCAGAAUCUUGUUUAACAGUAAAGUAAGUGUUUACCCAUGAAUAUCCUUAUUUUUGAUCCCUCUUUCCCCAGUUCCCACCCCACUGACUCCCAUUUCCCACCCUCUCAUUCAUUAUCUUUCUGUCUACAAUUCUUUUUUGACCUUUUGUAGUGUUGGUCAUCAAAAACAAGUGAAUGAUGCAAUAUUCUUUUGCAAAACUAUUGUAGGAGUACUUUUAUGAAUAUUAUUUUUUUUAAAUACCUUGACAUUUUUUCUUUCUCCAAUUAAGUAAUUUUUUUACUUAUAUCUCCUGAUAAAAACAAUCUGUUUUUGUAAUUUUGUACCAGAAUAUAUAUUUUGUUAUCAAUCAUAAUUUAUCCAUUUAGGUAUAAUGUUAUGAUUUUUUUGCUGGAAAGGAUGUAUGGUUUUUUGAUAGUGGUACAUGUACAAAUAUCAUACUAUAUAACUGAAUUUAAAAAAUAUUCCAAACAUUGAAUAAAAAAAGAUGGAACUAAUGCUUAAGGUCUCAACUAUGACACUUCUUUGGUAGUUUCCUUAAUUGUCCCAUGGAAUGAUAUACUCCCAAUUUUAGAUAACAGAAAUACGUAUAAUCCUCUAAGUCUAUGAGGAAAAUAAGAUAUCAGAUAAAUAUUGAAAUGUUGUAACUAAAUUCUUUGCAACAACUGCUUCUUCAUCUAUUUGUUAUUCAUGCUUUUCAAUUUAUUUUGUCUGAAUGGUUUUUAUACGACCGCAAAAAUUUUAAUUUUUUCGUCGUAUAUUGCUAUCACGUUGGCGUCGUCGUCGUCCUGCGUCGUCUUGCGUCGUCGUCGUCCGAAUACUUUUAGUUUUCGCACUCUAACUUUAGUAAGAGUGAAUAGAAAUCUAUGAAAUUUUAACACAAGGUUUAUAACCACAAAAGAAAGGUUGGGAUUGAUUUUGGGAGUUUUGGUCCCAAAAUUUUAGGAAUUGGGGGCCAAAAAGGGCCCAAAUAAGCAUUUUCUUGGUUUUCGCACUAUAACUUUAGUUUAAGUAUAUAGAAAUCUAUGAAAUUUUGACACAAGGUUUAUGACCACAAAAGGAAGGUUUGGAUUGAUUUUGGGAGUUUUAGUUCAAACAGUUUAGGAAUUAGGGGCCAAAAAAGGGCCAAAAUAAGCAUUAUUCUUGGUUUUCGCACAAUAACUUAGUAUAAGUAAAUAGAAAUCAAUGAAAUUUAAACACAAGGUUUAUGACCACAAAAGGAAGGUUGGGAUUGAUUUUGGGAGUUGAGGUCUGAACAGUUUAGGAAUUAGGGGCCAAAAAGGGGCCCAAGUAAGCAUUAUUCUUGGUUUUCGCACCAUAACUUUAGUAUAAGUAAAUAGAAAUCUUUGAAAUUUAAACACAAGGUUUACGACCA
Molecule: long non-coding RNA, 24995 nt
Filed under: Mytilus galloprovincialis (Mediterranean mussel)
Lineage: Eukaryota; Metazoa; Mollusca; Bivalvia; Mytilida; Mytilidae
Source: RNAcentral